GGAAUUGUUCGCAAUGGGCGCAAGCCUGACGACGCAACGCCGCGUGGAGGAUGAAGAAUUUCGGUUCGUAAACUCCUUUCGACCGAGAUGAACACCCCGCAAUUUAAUACGUUGUGGGACUGACAGUAUCGAGAGAAGAAGCACCGGCUAACUCUGUGCCAGCAGCCGCGGUAAGACAGAGGGUGCAAACGUUGUUCGGAUUUACUGGGCGUAAAGCGCGUGUAGGCGGCUUGGCAAGUCGGAUGUGAAAGCCCACGGCUCAACCGUGGAAGCGCAUCCGAAACGGCCUCGCUCGAGUCUCGGAGAGGAAGGUGGAAUGCUUGGUGUAGAGGUGAAAUUCGUAGAUAUCAAGCAGAACACCUGCGGCGAAGGCGGCCUUCUGGACGAUGACUGACGCUGAGACGCGAAAGCGUGGGGAGCAAAC
This 424-nucleotide ribosomal RNA is filed under the name uncultured bacterium. Its description in RNAcentral is "bacterial SSU rRNA". It matches the Rfam family "Bacterial small subunit ribosomal RNA", at positions 358 to 773 of the family's 1533-position model. The record is from RNAcentral.